GUUCAUUGACCUGGCUACCCUUCAUUAUUCAUGGCAGAGCAGAUGACAAAGGCUGCUUAAUGACACACACACACACACACACACACACACACACACACACAGGACAGGCAGACACACAGGACAGGCAGACACACACACAGGACAGGCAGACACACACACACACACAGGACAGGCAGACACACAGACACAGGACAGGCAGACACACACACAGGACAGGCAGACACACACACAGGACAGGCAGACACACACACACACACACACACACACACACACACACACACACAGGACAGGCAGACACACACAUACACACACACAGGACAGGCAGACACACACACACACACAGGACAGGCAGACACACACAGGACAGGCAGACACACACACACACACGACAGGCAGACACACACACACACACACACACACAGGACAGGACAGGCAGACACACACACACACACACAGGACAGGCAGACACACACAGGACAGGCAGACACACACACACAGGACAGGCAGACACACACAGGACAGGCAGACAGGCAUGCCUAACUAGGUGAGAGAAGACCAGGGCAGAUUUUAAGAAGAGGUGACUGGAGGACAGAGACAGAAGGUGUCAUUGUCUCAUCACCACCUCAGGUAACACAAUAAGCCUUUUCUAGCCGUGUGUGUGUCUUAGUGUUAGCGUGUGUGUGUGUGUAUCUUAGUGUUAGCGUGUGUGUGUGUGUGUCAGUGUGUGUGUGUCUUAGUGUCAGCGUGUGUGUGUGUGUCUUAGUGUCAGCGUGUGUGUGUGUAUCUUAGUGUCAGUGUGUGUGAACUGGUGGGUGGAAAGGUGAGGGACUGAGGCAGUAAUCCUGUCACAGGAGACGUAACACCCAGUACACACACACACACACAUACACAUAACACCCUGUACACACACACACACACACACACACACACACACACACACACACACACACACACACACACACCACCCCAUUAGCUGACCAGCUCACAUAACCCUCACAUCUCUCAGUGCAGACCACCUGCGGUGUCAGAGGAAGGCCCUAAGAAUUGUCAGACUCCAGCAACCCUAGUCAUAGACUGUUUUCUCUGCUACCACACGGCAAGCGGUACACUGGAGUACCCAGUCUAGGUCCAAGAGGAGUACCCAGUCUAGGUCCAAGAGGAGUACCAAGUCUAGGUCCAAGAGGAGUACCAAGUCUAGGUCCAAGAGGAGUACCAAGUCUAGGUCCAAGAGGAGUACCCAGUCUAGGUCCAAGAGGAGUACCCAGUCUAGGUCCAAGAGGAGUACCCAGUCUAGGUCCAAGAGGAGUACCAAGUCUAGGUCCAAGAGGAGUACCCAGUCUAGGUCCAAGAGGAGUACCCAGUCUAGGUCCAAGAGGAGUACCCAGUCUAGGUCCAAGAGGAGUACCCAGUCUAGGUCCAAGAGGAGUACCCAGUCUAGGUCCAAGAGGCUUCUAAACAGCUUCUACCCCCAAGCCAGGAGACUCCUGAACAGCUGAUCAAAGGGCUACCCAGACCCCUCUAUUACACUGCUGCUACUCUGUUUAUUAUCUAUGCAUAGUCACUUUACCUCUAACUACAUGUACAUAUUACCUUUAAUUACCUCGACUAACCGGUGCCCCCGCACAUUGACU
This is a long non-coding RNA of Oncorhynchus tshawytscha (Chinook salmon), 1631 nucleotides long. Lineage: Eukaryota; Metazoa; Chordata; Actinopteri; Salmoniformes; Salmonidae. The record is from Ensembl.